GAUGAACGCUGGCGGCAGGCUUAACACAUGCAAGUCGAGCGGGGGAAGGUAGCUUGCUACUGGACCUAGCGGCGGACGGGUGGGUAAUGCUUAGGAAUCUGCCUAUUAGUGGGGGACAACAUCUCGAAAGGGAUGCUAAUACCGCAUACGUCCUACGGGAGAAAGCAGGGGAUCUUCGGACCUUGCGCUAAUAGAUGAGCCUAAGUCGGAUUAGCUAGUUGGUGGGGUAAAGGCCUACCAAGGCGACGAUCUGUAGCGGGUCUGAGAGGAUGAUCCGCCACACUGGGACUGAGACACGGCCCAGACUCCUACGGGAGGCAGCAGUGGGGAAUAUUGGACAAUGGGGGGAACCCUGAUCCAGCCAUGCCGCGUGUGUGAAGAAGGCCUUAUGGUUGUAAAGCACUUUAAGCGAGGAGGAGGCUACUUUAGUUAAUACCUAGAGAUAGUGGACGUUACUCGCAGAAUAAGCACCGGCUAACUCUGUGCCAGCCGCCGCAGUAA
Molecule: ribosomal RNA, 501 nt
Filed under: uncultured bacterium
Lineage: Bacteria
Description: partial 16S ribosomal RNA
Rfam family: Bacterial small subunit ribosomal RNA
Source: RNAcentral